Molecule: ribosomal RNA, 503 nt
Filed under: uncultured bacterium
Lineage: Bacteria
Description: partial 16S ribosomal RNA
Rfam family: Bacterial small subunit ribosomal RNA
Source: RNAcentral
AUUGAACGCUGGCGGCAGGCUUAACACAUGCAAGUCGAGCGGGGUGAUGGUGCUUGCACUAUCACUUAGCGGCGGACGGGUGAGUAAUGCUUAGGAAUCUGCCUAUUAGUGGGGGACAACAUCUCGAAAGGGAUGCUAAUACCGCAUACGUCCUACGGGAGAAAGCAGGGGAUCACUUGUGACCUUGCGCUAAUAGAUGAGCCUAAGUCGGAUUAGCUAGUUGGUGGGGUAAAGGCCUACCAAGGCGACGAUCUGUAGCGGGUCUGAGAGGAUGAUCCGCCACACUGGGACUGCGACACGGCCCAGACUCCUACGGGAGGCAGCAGUGGGUAAUAGUGGACAAUGGGGGGAACCCUGAUCCAGCCAUGCCGCGUGUGUGAAGAAGGCCUUAUGGUUGUAAAGCACUUUAAGCGAGGAGGAGGCUCUUUUGGUUAAUACCCAAGAUGAGUGGACGUUACUCGCAGAAUAAGCACCGGCUAACUCUGUGCCAGCCGCCGCAGAAA